CCUACGGGAGGCAGCAGUGAGGAAUAUUGGGCAAUGGACGAGAGUCUGAACCAGCCAAGUAGCGUGAAGGAUGAAGGCCCUAGGGGGUGGAAACUGCUUUUAUAGGGGAAAAAAACAGGGUAAGCAUACCCUCUUGUAUGUACCAUAUGAAUAAGGAACGGCUAACUCCGUGCCAGCAGCCGCGGUAAUACGGAGGAUCCGAGCGUUAUCCGGAUUUAUUGGGGUUAAAGGGAGCGUAGGGGGAUUGUUAAGUCAGUUGGGAAAGUUUGCGGCUCAACCGGAAAAUUGCCUGUGAAACUGGCAGUCUUGCGUCCAGUUGCGGUGGGCGGACUUCGUGGUGUAGCGGUGCACUGCUUCGAUAUCCCGCAGAACUCCGAUUGCGACGGCAGCUCCCUGGACUGCAUCUGCCACUGAUGCUCUACAGUGUGGGUAUCACACCGGAUUAGAUACCCCUGUAGUC
Molecule: ribosomal RNA, 460 nt
Filed under: uncultured bacterium
Lineage: Bacteria
Description: partial 16S ribosomal RNA
Rfam family: Bacterial small subunit ribosomal RNA
Source: RNAcentral